RNAcentral lists this ribosomal RNA (540 nucleotides) under bacterium T295. Its description in RNAcentral is "bacterial SSU rRNA". It matches the Rfam family "Bacterial small subunit ribosomal RNA", at positions 116 to 691 of the family's 1533-position model. The record is from RNAcentral.
CGUGGGAACCUACCUUUAGGUACGGAACAACAGUUGGAAACGACUGCUAAUACCGUAUGUGCCCUAUGGGGGAAAGAUUUAUCGCCUAAGGAUGGGCCCGCGUUGGAUUAGCUAGUUGGUGGGGUAAAGGCUUACCAAGGCGACGAUCCAUAGCUGGUCUGAGAGGAUGAUCAGCCACACUGGGACUGAGACACGGCCCAGACUCCUACGGGAGGCAGCAGUGGGGAAUAUUGGACAAUGGGGGCAACCCUGAUCCAGCCAUGCCGCGUGAGUGAUGAAGGCCCUAGGGUUGUAAAGCUCUUUCAGCGAGGAGGAUAAUGACGUUACUCGCAGAAGAAGCCCCGGCUAACUUCGUGCCAGCAGCCGCGGUAAUACGAAGGGGGCUAGCGUUGUUCGGAAUCACUGGGCGUAAAGCGCACGUAGGCGGACUGAUUAGUCAGGGGUGAAAUCCCGGGGCUCAACCCCGGAACUGCCUUUGAUACUGUCAGUCUUGAGUCCGAGAGAGGUGAGUGGAACUCCGAGUGUAGAGGUGAAAUUCGU